CCUACGGGUGGCAGCAGUGAGGAAUAUUGGUCAAUGGACGAGAGUCUGAUCCAGCCACGUCGCGUGAAGGAUGACUGCCCUAUGGGUUGUAAACUUCAUUUAUAUGGGAAUAAAAUGUUCCACGUGUGGGAUUUUGUAUGUACCAUAUGAAUACGGAUCGGCUAACUCCGUGCCAGCAGCCGCGGUAAUACGGAUGAUCCGAGCGUUAUCCGGAUUUAUUGGGUUUAAAGGGACCGUAGAUGGAUGGUUAAGUCAGGUGUGAAAGUUUGCGGCUCAACCGUAAAAUUGCAUUGGAAACUGGGAGUCUUGAGUACAGGAGAGGUGAGCGGAAUUCGUGGUGUAGCGGUGAAAUGCUUAGAUAUGACGAAGAACUCCGAGUGCGAAGGCAGCUCACUGGACUGUAACUGACACUGAGGCUCGAAAGUGUGGGGAUCAAACAGGAUUAGAUACCCUUGUAGUC
Molecule: ribosomal RNA, 460 nt
Filed under: uncultured bacterium
Lineage: Bacteria
Description: partial 16S ribosomal RNA
Rfam family: Bacterial small subunit ribosomal RNA
Source: RNAcentral